GACGAACGCUGGCGGCGUGCCUAACACAUGCAAGUCGAACGGAAAGGCCCUGCUUUUGUGGGGUGGUCGAGUGGCGAACGGGUGAGUAACACGUGAGUAACCUGUACCUGACUUUGGGAUAACUUCAGGAAACUGGGUCUAUUACCGGAUAGGAGCUCCUGCUGCAUGGUGGGGGUUGGUAAGAUUCGGCGGUUGGGGAUGGACUGGCGGCUUAUGAGCUUGUUGGUGGGGUAGUGGCUGACCAAGGUUUUGCGGGGUAGCAGGCAGGAGAGGUUAGACGGCCAAACUAGGCCUGAGAUACGGCACAGACUCGACCGGUAGGCAGCGGUGGGGAGUAUUGCACAAUAGGCGGGAGCCUGAUGCAGCACCGCCGCGUGCGGGAUGACGGCCUUCGGGGUGUAAACCGAUGUCGCCUGUGACGAAGCGUGAGUGACGGUAACGGGUAAAGAAGCACCGGCUAACUACGUG
Molecule: ribosomal RNA, 468 nt
Filed under: uncultured bacterium
Lineage: Bacteria
Description: partial 16S ribosomal RNA
Rfam family: Bacterial small subunit ribosomal RNA
Source: RNAcentral